This 637-nucleotide ribosomal RNA is filed under the name uncultured bacterium. RNAcentral's name for it is "bacterial SSU rRNA". It matches the Rfam family "Bacterial small subunit ribosomal RNA", at positions 202 to 842 of the family's 1533-position model. The record is from RNAcentral.
UAAAGAUUCAUCGCUGAUAGAUAGGCAUGCGUUCCAUUAGGCAGUUGGCGGGGUAACGGCCCACCAAACCGACGAUGGAUAGGGGUUCUGAGAGGAAGGUCCCCCACAUUGGUACUGAGACACGGACCAAACUCCUACGGGAGGCAGCAGUGAGGAAUAUUGGUCAAUGGGCGUAAGCCUGAACCAGCCAAGUCGCGUGAGGGAUGAAGGUUCUAUGGAUCGUAAACCUCUUUUAUAAGGGAAUAAAGUGUGGGACGUGUCCUAUUUUGCAUGUACCUUAUGAAUAAGGAUCGGCUAACUCCGUGCCAGCAGCCGCGGUAAUACGGAGGAUCCGAGCGUUAUCCGGAUUUAUUGGGUUUAAAGGGUGCGUAGGCGGCCUUUUAAGUCAGCGGUGAAAGUCUGUGGCUCAACCAUAGAAUUGCCGUUGAAACUGGGGGGCUUGAGUAUGUUUGAGGCAGGCGGAAUGCGUGGUGUAGCGGUGAAAUGCUUAGAUAUCACGCAGAACCCCGAUUGCGAAGGCAGCCUGCCAAGCCAUGACUGACGCUGAUGCACGAAAGCGUGGGGAUCAAACAGGAUUAGAUACCCUGGUAGUCCACGCAGUAAACGAUGAUCACUAGCUGUUUGCGAUACAGUGUAA